RNAcentral lists this unclassified non-coding RNA (309 nucleotides) under plant metagenome. RNAcentral's name for it is "partial contains 5.8S ribosomal RNA, internal transcribed spacer 2, and large subunit ribosomal RNA". The stretch from base 1 to 105 matches the Rfam family "5.8S ribosomal RNA", at positions 50 to 154 of the family's 154-position model. The record is from RNAcentral.
GAAAUGCGAUAAGUAGUGUGAAUUGCAGAAUUCAGUGAAUCAUCGAAUCUUUGAACGCACAUUGCGCCCCUUGGUAUUCCAUGGGGCAUGCCUGUUCGAGCGUCAUUUGUACCCUCAAGCUCUGCUUGGUGUUGGGUGUUUGUCCCGUCUCCGCGCGUGGACUCGCCCCAAAGUGAUUGGCAGCCGGCGUACUGGUCCCGGAGCGCAGCACAUGUCGCGCAAACGAGUGCCUUGGUACGGCGGCGUCCAUAAGCCCCGCUCUCACGCUCUUGACCUCGGAUCAGGUAGGGAUACCCGCUGAACUUAAGC